Chiloscyllium plagiosum (whitespotted bambooshark) is the source of this 938-nucleotide non-coding RNA. The record is from RefSeq and is a predicted model, not a curated record. Lineage: Eukaryota; Metazoa; Chordata; Chondrichthyes; Orectolobiformes; Hemiscylliidae.
UUCUUCUUCAGCUUUCUUAACAGCACUUUGAAGAUAUUCAUGAGCUUUUCUGUAUAAUCCAAUCGAAACCUGAAGAACAAAAAAAAGGAAUCGCUUCUUUUUGCUACCACAGCUAAUCCAGUGGUUUCCCACAAAGGCACAGCUGCUGACAACAGAUGCCUUUUGGGUGAUGGACUUUGUACCAAUCUUUUCACUAAAGAUCCCACGUAGAACAUCAUAAUCUCCCAGUGAUCGGUACAAUCUGCAGAAAGAUCAAAGUCAAGCACUCAGCUUCUGGAAUGAACAUUCGCCAAGUUAAAAAAAAAUCUUUACAUUAUCCUUGGUGUUCGGUGGGCAGUAGCACCAUAACAAGGUGCUAACAACAAGGUGACCAUUACUUCAAAGUUAGACUGAAAAGUUCGAUUCACACGAAAGUAUUUGGUCAGAUAGUCACAGAAGGAACUGCAGCAAAAAUCAAUUUCUUUGGAUGAAGGAGGAAGAAAAGUAACAUUAGCAACAGGAUGCAGCUAAAGUAUGAACGAGACUGGCCACUGACUAUCCAAGGAUAUUCUAUUUUAGGAGGGAACCAUCAAAAGGAGGAGGAGAGCGAGAAGAACGUUCUGCAUCAAUGAGCAUCAUCCUAGCCAAAGAAACACUGGCCUCUCUGCUAGACAAACCAAAGACACAAACACCUGGUAGCACCAGCGCCAUCAACAAGUACAGUAUCCUCAAACUAAUAGACCUGUGCCUCACAACCCACUUCACCUUCAACGACAAGACCUACAAACAAAUCAAUGGGACACCCAUGGGAUCACCAAUAUCAGGAUACUUGGCAGAAGCAGUUAAUCAGAGGUUAGAACGAACAGCCCUUGCCAUGAUCCAGCCCAAGUUUUGGGUCCGCUAUGUGGAUGACACCUUUGUCAUCACAAAAUGCAACAGAUUACAGGAAACCCACAAAC